Molecule: long non-coding RNA, 273 nt
Organism: Notothenia coriiceps (black rockcod)
Lineage: Eukaryota; Metazoa; Chordata; Actinopteri; Perciformes; Nototheniidae
Exons: 3
Source: RefSeq, a predicted model, not a curated record
CCAGGUGUAUGAUGACCAUUUCAUCAGCGCGGUGGUUCUCUCUCUGAUCCUUGCUGCACUGUUUGGCCUUAUCUAUUUGCUAAUGAUCCCACAGGGGAUGCUGGUGCUGCUGCUGCUGGUGCUGUGUGUGUGUUUCCACGUGGCCUGUGUCAUGUACCUGCAUCUCACCAGUGUUCAGUGCCAACCGGGCUGCCUCACCAUCCAGAUCCGAACAGUGCUGUGUGUCUUCCUCGUUCUGCUCACAUACUCUGUUACCCAGGCCUGUGUGGUAAG